RNA transcript from Ailuropoda melanoleuca (giant panda), 5985 nucleotides. It is a transcript of the gene named Fas binding factor 1, with no coding region annotated. The transcript is spliced from 31 exons. NCBI's taxonomy places the organism in Eukaryota, Metazoa, Chordata, Mammalia, Carnivora, Ursidae. The record is from RefSeq and is a predicted model, not a curated record.
ACCUGGGAGAUUUCAGGGGCUGGGAGGAGAGUAGGCCGCGCUCGGGGUUGAGCUGGGAUGGGCGCGCGGAGCGGGUGACGCAGGGAGGGGCGCGGAGUCUCCAGACCUAGGGGGUGACCGGAAGGGCCCUUGCUAAGGAUUUUUAAAUGCCUGGCACGGAGGUGGCGGAGCAGAUACGAUGACGCGGUGGUACUCUGUGGCACUUCUAGCCUUUGCAAACUUCUCAGAGAUUCUCCCGGUCUGGGAGGCUAAGACGAAAUCCCUAGGAGAUGGCAGAAGCUCUCGGAUGUGAAAUGAGACAAAACGUGUUUGGACUUGUAGGUCGUGCAAAUUGCCAUUACAAAGAAAGAGAAACACAAACAUUCAGAGUGGCCCCUGUGAAUAAUCCCAGAUGAAUUUUGCAUUCUGUUAACAGGACCUGCAACACCGACAAAUAGAGAUGACCCCCUCUGACUCCUUUCUUCCAAGGCAUGGGAAGGGAGGAUGAGCCUGAUGUGGGCAGAAUUCAAAUGAGAUGGACAGCGCUGUGAACCAGCUACAGGCAGCUCCCAGAGCCUUGAGAUGGCACCAAAAACCAAGAAGGGAUUGAAAGGCUCCAUUGAUGAUGUCCUUGGUGACCUCUUAGGGGAUGACAUGACACUACCUGAAGAGCCUGUUAAACUAGCUUCGUGUGCCGGAGACGCCACAGCUGUUGCCCAGGCGCUCCCUUCCUCCAGGGCUAGAACGAAGUCCCUCCUGGAAGACCGUGCCUUCAACACCACAGCGGGCCUCCGGGGACCUGAUGCCGAGGUGUCAGAUGUCUCCGAUGCAGACCCGCAAACUUUGCUGCAGGCGAUGAAGGAUCUGGACGACAUGGAUGCCGAUCUCUUCGGUCUGAAGAGGUCUAAUCUGGCCUCUGGCAAAAGAGCUGCCAGGGGUCCUGGGAAAGAAGAACUGCCUCGUCGUCCCAAACCCGCCGGCACACCGACAGCCAGGGAGAAAGGGGACGCCAUUCCCGCCAAGAAACCCCCUCCCUCUCCCAGCAGCUUUGGGCAUCAGUACAGAAAGUUUUCCUUCGAAGACUUGGAAGACCCAUUGGCAGGACUUCUGUCCGACGAUGAGGAAGGAAUCACCAAGAAGCCCCCUGGGACAGAGAGUAAAAUGGCUUCCGAAAAGAGCGCAGCCCCCGUCAGAGAUCAAGGUCCAUCUAUUCCGCUAACUCCUGGGGACACCCCGGUCCGAAAGAAAGAAGAAGUGCUAUUUGAUGAGGAGGACGACAUCGUGGCCACCUUGGGGUUUGCAGACAGCCCCACGGCAGAAAGGAGGCAGACGGGUGACCAGGAAGGGCACCGUCCUGCUCGCUCCAGGCUGGAUGAGCUGCUGGGUCGGGGCACUGCCACCAAACUCCUGGCCCGCCCGGGCACUGGGGAGCACAGGGAAUUCAAGCUGGACAAGAAGUACCAGAGGCCCCAGGACAAGGAAGAUCCCUGGGGUGAUGAAGACUUCACCUUUGGGGCCUAUCAGCCCACUGUGGGCUCCUGCGAGGGCCGCCAGUCCCGCCGCCAGUCGGUCAGUAGGUUCUUAGCAGAAGAUGGCGCAGACACCAAGGGGGAACCAGGCUCCAAACAGAGCACCCCAGCGACCUCCAGCCCCACCCACCCCAGGAAGGGAGGAGCUGACUGGUUGGGCCUCAAGGAUGACGACCUGCUCCCUCCCUCUCCCACCAGAGAGGCUCAGAGGGGAGGCUCAGCGCUCUCCACUCCUUCCGUGCUCCCUCCCAGGAGCCAGCCCUCGGCCCCAGGCUGGCACUCGGCCCCAGGCGGACUGCCGUCCUCCUCUUUGGGGCCAAAGCCACCAGCUGAGGGGGCAGGUUUCCCUGCCAGAGCCAGCCAGGCUUCCCAACUGGGAGCGUCUGAGGAGAAAGAGGAAGAGGAUUGGCUGAGCCAGGCCUUGUCUCGGAAGAAGUCCCAGGGUCUGGCCAGAGAGGAGCACACUGAGGCCUGUAAGGGCCAGAAUCUGGUGGGGGCAGUAGGCAGUGCCCCUUCCAGCAGCCAACCUGUUCCCAGCACUCAAGGGUUCGAGCAAGCAGCUGCUGGAGGGCCCUCAGGAACAGCGGCAAAGAAGCCACCAAUAAGGCCUGCCACCUCGGGGUCCCCUGUGACUUGGAACCAGGCUGCCUUGACCCUCCCUGGAGGUGACUCAAAGAGGGGAACAGCCCUCGGAGACCUCUCCAGCAUUGAGCCCGCAGCUUGUUUCCCGAGCUCCCAGGAACCCUCAGGGCCUUCUGUGCCAGUCCAGUCCCUGCUCCCGGAGUCCCUGGCGCGGAGCCUGUCGCCGGGCCCAGAAUACCGGCGGCAGCUCGUGGCCGCACAGGUGCAGCUGCAGAGCGGCCCUGCUGAGCUCCAGGCUGACCUUCUGCAGAGUCAGGCCCGGCUGGCAGAGCUGGAGGCCCAGGUGCGGAAGCUGGAGCUGGAGCGGGCCCAGCACCAGCUGUUGCUCGAGAGCUUGCAGCAGCGGCACCAGGCCGACCUGGAGCUCAUCGAGAGUGCUCACAGAAGCCGUGUAAAGGUGCUAGAAACAUCGUACCAGCAAAGGGAAGAGCGGCUGCGGAGGGAGCACGAGGAGCUGUCGGGCCGGUAUCUGUCGCACUGCCAAGAAGCCGAGCAGGCCCGCGCCGAGCUCGCAGCCCAGUACCAGCGGCGCUUGGCGGCCGCCAUGCAAGAGAAGGACCAGGAGAUGGAGCGGCUCCGGGAGCUGCAGAGGGCCUCCAUCCUGGAGAUGCGCCAGGACCAUGAGGAACAGCUGCAGCGGCUGAAGGUGCUGAAGGACCGAGAGAUCGACGCGGUCACCAGCGCCACCUCCCACACGCGGUCCCUGAACGGCAUCAUCGAGCAGAUGGAGAAGUUUUCCAGCAGCCUGCACGAGCUGUCCUCCCGCGUGGAGGCCUCGCACCUCACCACCGCCCAGGAGCGGGAGCUGGGGCUCCGGCAGCGUGACCAGCAGCUCCAAGCACUGCAGGAGAGGCUGGGCCAGCAGCGGCGGGACAUGGAGGAGGAGAGGAGCCACCUCCAGGAGGUUAUUGGGAAGAUGGAGGCGCGCCUGAACGAGCAGAGCCGGCUGCUGGAGCAGGAGCGAUGGCGGGUGACUGCCGAGCAGUCCAAGGCGGAGUCCAUGCAGCGCGCUCUGGAAGAGCAGAGGAAGAUCAUGGUCCAGCAGAUCUCCAUGGAGCGGGAGGAGCUGGAGAAGGCCAAGAGCGCCUUGCUGGAGGAGCAGAAGUCCGUCAUGCACAAGUGUGGGGAGGAGCGGCGGCGCCUCGCGGCCGAGUGGGCCGAGUUCUAUGCACAGCAGAAGCUGAGUAAGGAGCGGGCCGAGCGCGAGGCAGAGAGGGCGCUGCAGAUGGACAGCCAGCGGGAGGGCACCCUCGUCAGCCUGGCCAAGGAGCAAGCCGAGCUAAAGAUCAGGGCCAGUGAGCUCCGAGCCAAGGAGGAGCAGCUGGCGGCCGAGAGGGAGGCCCUGGAGCGGGAGCGACAGGAGCUGCGGCUGGAGAAGGAGAGGGUCAGCGCCGCUGCCCUGCGCACCAGGCUCCGCGCCCAGGAGGUGGAGAGCAUGAGCCAGGUGGCCUCUGAGAAGUUCGAGGAGGGGCAGCGGGCGCUGCGCGAGGCCCGGCGGGUGCAGCAGGAGCAGCAGGCUCGGCUGCAGCUGGUACAGCGGCAGCAGGAGCAGCUCCGGGAGCAGGAGCAGCGCAUGCAGCAGGAGCAUCUGAGUCUGGCCCAGCAGAGGCUGCGGCUGGGCCAAGUCCCACAGGACCUGCCCUCCAGCCCCGUGGCCCGGCUCCCCAUGACCCAGGGGCCAGCAGCCGCCUGCCUGAGUGCCAUUGUGGCCCCUGCCCCCAGCACGGCCCAGUGCAGCCAGCCGCCCACCGGCCUGGGCGCUUCGCACCUGCACGCCAGGCUGGUGCUGCUGAAGCACACGGCUGAGCAGGACCGUGACUUCUUGGAGAAUGAACAGUUCUUCCUGGAAACCCUGAAGAAAGCCUCCUACAAUAUGACAUCCCAUUCAACCUGAAGGGCGCCAGAGGCCUCCAGCCCUGGAAGUCUCUCCCACCGCCCCCCUGGCUGCCGGCUCCGGCUCCAGCUCCGAGGAUGGAGUGCCCAGGGCCUGAUUAUAGCUCCUCCUCGGGACAGGGUGCGAGCACAUUCUCUUUGCAUGCUCCAGCCUCUAGGGCUUGGGGAACAGUGGCCUCUGGGGAGAUGUGAUGCCGAGGGUGUCUCAGCCCCACGACCCUGCCAGCCACAGCCUCGGUUCUUCUCCCUCAGACUUCCAGCUCAGAUCCAAGGGCUCACUGGGCUCUGUGGACCCCUCCCCUCCUCAGCAGGCAGAUGGUUGGGGGAUAGUGUCACCUGGGCCUCUUCUGAGGCAGGGGAGUCUUCUUGAGAGAUGCCCUCCCUGUCUGAGAGGCCAACAGAGACAGCGCAGGCUCUCCUCCCUAACUGGGCCAUAGAGUCAGAGCAUGUGUUUUGAAGCGCCUUCUGUCCUCCCGACCGCGGAGGUGGGCGGUGUUGUGGGAGCACAGAGGGGGCAGGGAAGGUGCUGUGCCCAGCCAGGUUUUGCCUCGAAGUCUUGAUGUGCUGUCAGAUUGGCUGGCACAAAGUCCCCGCCUCGUUCCCAGCUGCCUGAGUCACUGAUGGAACGCUGGCCUGUCCCUUCUUAUAAUUAGGGCUUCCCAGAGGCAGGACUGGGCGUGACAGUGGGAUGUGGUGAGGGACCCGGAGAGAGGUCUCUCUGUCCUAUUCACCUGCUACCAAACCACCACAGGUGGCAGCAAAGACAAGGGAGCGGGGCCCCUGCCACAGCUGGGAGGGUAGAGAGCGCCGGGGACCCCCAUAAGGCCUUACCCAGGCUGCCAGCCCUGGGAGGGCGCCUUUGCCCUUCUCCCUGCAGGGGCGCCAGGAUGGGGGCAGCGGCUUAGCAGUGGUCCCAGCAGAUCCGAGGAGGGAUAGACACCACUAACAUAACCACGGUCACUCCUGAAGCGGCUUCCCUCAGCCAGUGACUGGCUACCUUCCACUGGCGGACAAAGUGUGAAGGGGCAUCAGAACAGCCUUCAGAAGGAUCUUCAUUUACCAGCAAUUUCCAGCCUUCAUCUUGGACCCAUUAAAUUGCUCUAUUCUUUGUUACUGGAUUGUUAGAAUUUGCCAUGACUCCUGAGAGUUUAUACUAGUUCUUAGAAGUGUUCCCUCUGUAGCACUGUUCCUUGCCAUAAAGCUGGCUGGCACUGGCACCUUCCUGAAUCUCUACAUUCACUGGCUGCCUCACGACCAGGAGAAGAGUGUGCCGAUCAGCCCUACCUCACACAGGGGCUCAGGGAGAUUAAAUCAUCUGCCCAAGGUGACAGCAAAUAGCAGAGCCUUCUCCUUGGGCACAUUCCAAAACCCCGGGGUCUCAGCCACUUCAUUCCACUGACUCCUUCUAGAAGAGCAUGCUGCACGCAGUGCUGUUGUGAAGCAUGAGCUCUCCAGACUGCUUCUCGGGUUCGUGCCUGCACUGAGGAGGGAAGCGUCAGUGUCCCAUUAGAAACCUCAUGAAGCUUGGAAUUCGGUCCUUCUCUCCACAGACACCUAAACGAGUUGCCACCUGUGUGAAGAGCUGCAGGGCUGUAAGCACGGGCACAGCCUGGGAGCAGCUGGCAUUGACUUAGUCCCCUGACAGUCAGGAUCACCCAGCAGGGAGACCCACAGGGGCGAGCUGGCCUUCAAGACAAAGAGAAAUGAGUGCAGAAUGAGCAAGCAGGUCUGUAUGGCCUCGUUUAUCUUCAGGGCAGUGGUUGAUACAUGUGGGAAUCCGUGCUACGCCUUUCAAACACUUAAAUUCCAAGUGAGCCCAUUCUUGGAGCGUUCUAGGACCGUGAGAGAACAAGUGUUUCUCAAAAGUAAGGACUGUCGGAGAAAACCAAGCCAGCGGGGGUCAUCGGCUAGCAUGCCGCUUGCCGCUAUGCCGCGAGAUCCU